AGAGAAAUAAUACAUGGCAAUCCUCUACAUAUGGCGACAAUUGGGCCCAAAAAUUCUGUGGUUAAGCGAGAUAUUUGUUAAAUGAAUUUUGCCCCAUUUUUUACAACCUUUCUUGCCACAGUUGUUAAAUGAAUCGCUGUAGUUGAUAAGUUAGUCACCUA
Non-coding RNA from Notechis scutatus (mainland tiger snake), 161 nucleotides. The record is from RefSeq and is a predicted model, not a curated record. Lineage: Eukaryota; Metazoa; Chordata; Lepidosauria; Squamata; Elapidae.